UACGUAGGGACCGAGCGUUGUCCGGAAUCAUUGGGCGUAAAGAGCGUGUAGGCGGCUAUUUAAGUCCUGCGUGAAAUCCUGCGGCUCAACCGCAGACGGUCGUGGGAGACUGGAGGGCUGGAGCAAGGGAGGGGGCAGUGGAAUUCCCGGUGUAGUGGUGGAAUGCGUAGAUAUCGGGAGGAACACCAGUGGCGAAGGCGACUGCCUGGACCUUUGCUGACGCUGAGGCGCGAAAGCGUGGGGAGCGAUCCGG
RNAcentral lists this ribosomal RNA (253 nucleotides) under uncultured bacterium. Its description in RNAcentral is "partial 16S ribosomal RNA". It matches the Rfam family "Bacterial small subunit ribosomal RNA", at positions 524 to 776 of the family's 1533-position model. The record is from RNAcentral.